RNAcentral lists this small nuclear RNA (105 nucleotides) under Castor canadensis (American beaver). Lineage: Eukaryota; Metazoa; Chordata; Mammalia; Rodentia; Castoridae. The record is from RNAcentral.
GUGCUCUCUUCAGCAGCACAUAUACUUAAAUUGAAACGACACAAGAGAUUAGCAUGGCCCCUAUGCAAGGAUGACAUGCAAAUCUACGAAGCAUUCCAUAUUAAA